This 429-nucleotide ribosomal RNA is filed under the name Verrucomicrobiota bacterium. RNAcentral describes it as "Verrucomicrobia bacterium partial 16S ribosomal RNA". It matches the Rfam family "Bacterial small subunit ribosomal RNA", at positions 355 to 776 of the family's 1533-position model. Lineage: Bacteria; Pseudomonadati; Verrucomicrobiota. The record is from RNAcentral.
UAGGGAAUCUUCCGCAAUGGACGAAAGUCUGACGGAGCAACGCCGCGUGAGUGAAGAAGGAUUUCGGUUCGUAAAACUCUGUUGUUAGGGAAGAAAAAAUGUAUAGUAACUAUAUACAAAAGAGACGGUACCUAACCAGAAAGCCACGGCUAACUACGUGCCAGCAGCCGCGGUAAUACGUAGGUGGCAAGCGUUGUCCGGAAUUAUUGGGCGUAAAGCGCGCGCAGGUGGUUUAGAAAGUCUGAUGUGAAAGCCCACGGCUCAACCGUGGAGGGUCAUUGGAAACUAAUAAACUGGAGUGCAGGAGAGAAAAGUGGAAUUCCUCGUGUAGCGGUGAAAUGCGUAGAGAUUAGGAGGAACACCGGUGGCGAAAGCGGCUUUUUGGCCUGCAACUGACACUGCGGCGCGAAAGCGUGGGGAGCAAACAGG